GGGUUGUGAGGUUAAGCGACUAAGCGUACACGGUGGAUGCCUAGGCAAUCAGAGGCGAUGAAGGA
This 65-nucleotide ribosomal RNA is filed under the name Vibrio parahaemolyticus. RNAcentral describes it as "partial 23S ribosomal RNA". Lineage: Bacteria; Pseudomonadati; Pseudomonadota; Gammaproteobacteria; Vibrionales; Vibrionaceae. The record is from RNAcentral.